Molecule: long non-coding RNA, 1395 nt
Filed under: Citrus sinensis (sweet orange)
Lineage: Eukaryota; Viridiplantae; Streptophyta; Magnoliopsida; Sapindales; Rutaceae
Description: long non-coding RNA (CSIN_LNC000542)
Source: RNAcentral
CCAGGGGCACCGUCGACGCCAGUGACGCCGACGACGCCGCUGUCGGCGCGUAAGGACAACGUGUGGAGGAGCGUGUUUCACCCCGGUAGCAACCUUGCUACUAGGGGUAUCGGUGCAGAGGUCUUUGACAAGCCCACACAUCCUAACUCUCCCACUGUUUAUGACUGGUAAGUACGUGCGUGUGUCCUCACUCACUCGCUCGCUCGCUCACUCGCUCUUCACUAGCAUAGAUGCUGCAUGCUUGUUCUAACUUAUUAUUCUUUCUUUAGACCCUUAUCAGUUGAACGCAAAGGCAACUUGUACUCUAUCUAUAUAUGUUUAAUCAUGUUCGGUUGCUGAUAAAUAUAUAUAUUUAUUUAUUAAUUUGUUCUCUUUUUCUCCCCCCCCCCCCCCUUUUUAACUGAAUUAAUUCCCCGAUCAGAAAAAAAACCGCAGCUUAUUAUAUUCAUGUGUGCGUGUGUGUGUGUUUUAAAAAGAAAAAUGAUGAAACCAAAUCGAUGGAGCAUCAACUCAAACAUCUCUGUUUUUGUUUUGUUUUUUUUGUCGUUCUUACUGGCUUCUCUCAGCAACCAAAUAAAGGCUAAGAGGAAGGAGGAAAACGUGGCACUCUGUCUCAUGGGCGCGUUGAAAUAGAUCUUUGUCUUAUUCAGUAAUGAUCACUCAAUUCACACUCUUUUGUGAAUCCCUGCCAGUUCUUCCUUAGUUAAAGCCAAAUGAUGUAAUAAAUAAUAUAUUUUGUAUUAUGUAGUGAUCAUGGAUAAGAUUAGAUCGUACUAUAGCUAGGGCUGUUGGAUCUGUUUAUUUUGCGGUGGAUGAUUAAAGUAGUAAUUUAACUAUAUUGAUUAUCCUUAAUUAUUAUUAUUAUUAUUAUUAUUAUUAUUAUUAUUAUUAUUAGAUGGAUCUGAUCCGUGAUCGGGGCGUCGUGUUUUUGGAUCGGGAGUUGAUGUUGCUCUGAAUUGGUUUUUGUGAUUUUGCAGGCUUUACAGUGGGGAGACUAGGAGCAAGCAUCAUCACUGAGUGGAUGAUACGCUCCAGCGAUGUAAAUGAAUGUGAUGGGUCACCAACUCACCGGAUGAGUUGCCUGUAGUCUGUAGAUAGUGUCGUUUCGUUUUGGAUUUCGCAACGUGUCCUUGUCGUUUUGUUAAUGCUAUUUGUAUUACGUGUCCUUCCUAUCUAAAGUUUGGUUUUAAAAUGCUGCUGACUAAAAGUAAACUAAAGACUGUGAUGUUUUUAUAUCAUAUAAUUUAAUAAUUGUAUGUGAUGUGAGGAUUGCUAAGCUGUGGGCGGAGAUGAAAGGUUGCUGGUUUUUGGGUUUAGGACAUGUUUUUGAUUGUCAUUUUGUAAGAGCCAAGAUCAUCCCUUCGUGGACGGUCGUGAUGAGCAUAUAUGUUUUAU